Molecule: long non-coding RNA, 752 nt
Filed under: Linum usitatissimum (flax)
Lineage: Eukaryota; Viridiplantae; Streptophyta; Magnoliopsida; Malpighiales; Linaceae
Description: long non-coding RNA (LUSI_LNC004198)
Source: RNAcentral
AACGAACAACAGUGAUGUUGAAGUUGUGGUUCAGGUUUUAGUAUUCCUCCUUUUGAGAGGUUUUUCCUAUGCGUUAGGGUUUACACCAGUGAGGCUAGGGUUUUCGCUUCCUUCGCUCAGCGGCGGAUCGACGAUGGAGAUGGUUACACGAGGACGAGAAGAUGAUGCGAUGCACCGAGGAGCGGACGGGCUAUAGCUGGACGACGGUGGAUAGUCGGUGGCUUUUGAGGGUAUCCAGGAACACCCAAAAAACCUAGCAACAACAAGCCUGAACAACAGGUCCUGCCACGAGGAGUGAUUCGCUGGAAAGAACUCACUCGAGGUAUCUACCUCUUCGAGUAUUUGAUGUUUUGGGUGUCCCCAAUUUGGGCUUCACCGGUCGUUUACUGCUUUCUUAGUUUCAGAUGUUUCUUUAUGUUCGAACAAUUUUUUCUUGUUUAUUUUUGCUAUCGGGUAGAGUUUAGCGUAUGGGAUGUUAACCCUUGUUCUAGUAGCGGAACUAGGGGGUGGCCCGGGGGAGUCCCGGCUCACCCCAAUUUCGAUAUGCACCCUUAAUUUCAGGUGUAUAUUUACAAUUUUUACGAGUUUGGCUCAGGGCAGUUUUGAGCUCGGCUCAGUGGUUGGUCGUGUCAAAACUAGAGGGACCCGCUGAGAGUCCCAACUAUCUUGUCUCAUGGUCUCGAAUACUAUAUUAUAUGUAAAAUUUUGAUAAUUUCAUAAUCCGACUAAUAGUAUUUGAAAUUUUGCUCUUA